RNAcentral lists this ribosomal RNA (118 nucleotides) under Oncorhynchus mykiss (rainbow trout). The record is from RNAcentral. Lineage: Eukaryota; Metazoa; Chordata; Actinopteri; Salmoniformes; Salmonidae.
GGCUACAGUAUAUGCAAUUUCUUACGCCUGAUCUCGUCCGAUCUCGGAAGCUAAGCAGGGUCGGGCCUGGUUAGUACUUGGAUGGGAGACCGCCUGGGAAUACCAGGUGCUGUAAGCU